UCGGGCCGUGGCGCAGCCUGGUUAGCGCGUCCGUCUGGGGGGCGGAAGGUCGUGAGUUCGAAUCUCACCGGCCCGACCA
Molecule: transfer RNA, 79 nt
Filed under: Rhodobacter capsulatus SB 1003
Lineage: Bacteria; Pseudomonadati; Pseudomonadota; Alphaproteobacteria; Rhodobacterales
Description: tRNA-Pro
Rfam family: tRNA
About the family: Transfer RNA (tRNA) molecules are approximately 80 nucleotides in length. Their secondary structure includes four short double-helical elements and three loops (D, anti-codon, and T loops). Further hydrogen bonds mediate the characteristic L-shaped molecular structure. tRNAs have two regions of fundamental functional importance: the anti-codon, which is responsible for specific mRNA codon recognition, and the 3' end, to which the tRNAs corresponding amino acid is attached (by aminoacyl-tRNA synthetases). tRNAs cope with the degeneracy of the genetic code in two manners: having more than one tRNA (with a specific anti-codon) for a particular amino acid; and 'wobble' base-pairing, i.e. permitting non-standard base-pairing at the 3rd anti-codon position.
Source: RNAcentral